Molecule: ribosomal RNA, 2216 nt
Filed under: Podocerus septemcarinatus
Lineage: Eukaryota; Metazoa; Arthropoda; Malacostraca; Amphipoda; Podoceridae
Description: bacterial SSU rRNA
Rfam family: Eukaryotic small subunit ribosomal RNA
Source: RNAcentral
CCUGGUUGAUCCUGCCAGUAGUCAUAUGCUUGUCUCAAAGAUUAAGCCAUGCAUGUCUAAGUCCAAGCUGUGUUUACACGGCGAGACCGCGGACGGCUCAUUAAAUCAGUCGUGGUCCAAAUGGGCCAGUAUCCUUUUACUUGGAUAACUGUGGUAAUUCCAGAGCUAAUACAUGCAACUGAUACUCUGAUGGCUGGGAGAGUUUAUCGAUCCCUCCUGACGAGUGCUUUUAUUAGACCAAACUGCUGGGAGGUGCCUCACGGCACCUCGACUCGCUAUGUGGUGACUCUGGAUAACCAAUGCUGACAAGCGCACGUACCUUCUCUACGAGUCGGACGGCGCUGCCACUUUCGAGUGUCUGCCUUAUCAGCUUUCAACCGCUCGCUACACGCGACCGAUGGCUUUGACGGGUAACGGGGAAUCAGGGUUCGAUUCCGGAGAGGCAGCCUGAGAAACGGCUACCACGUCCAAGGACGGCAGCAGGCACGCAAAUUACCCAAUCCCAGCACCUGGGGGAGGUAGUGACGAAACCUAACGAUGCGGGCGCCCAUUACGGGCCCCGCAAUCGGAAUGAGCACUUUCUAAACAACCUGUUGAGAACCUACUGAAGGGCAAGUCUGGUGCCAGCAGCCGCGGUAAUUCCAGCUUCAGUAGCAUCUAUUAAAGUUGCUGCGGUUAAAAGGCUCGCAGUUGAAUGUCAGUGCCGGGUGUUGGUAGGUGGACGUUGGGGUGUGGGAUUCCGGCGGUUGGCUCACGCUAGCCGUCUCUCAUAAGCUCCCGUCCGUGACAAGCCUCCACGCCUGUGUACACAAUGGUGUCAAUCUGUGGCGGAGUGUUGUGCUCGCCUCUCUUUACGGGGAGGAGUUCUACUCUCUUCACCACUCUGGCACCAACGUCACCCUGAGUAAAUCAGAGUGCUCAAAGCAGUCGUAACGGGCGCAAGCCCUGUGAACAUACAGUCCUCGUGACAGGGACGGUCUUGGUUUUGCAUGGCAUGUCGGAAUACGACGACGGGCGCUGGCUAAGAGUCUAUAUCUUACAGUGGUACAAGCCAGCCCCGUCGUACUGAUUAAAAGGGCUUGUCGAGGGCAUUAGUAUUGCGGAGCGAGAGGUGAAAUUCUAUGACCUCCGCAAGACUUCCUGAAGCGAAAGCGUCUGCCAAGGAUGUUUUCAUUAAUCAUGAACGAAAGUUAGAGGAUCGAAGGCGAUCAGAUACCGCCCUAGUUCUAACCCUAAACGAUGCCAACCAUCAAUCCGCGCGUAGCACCCUUUUGUACGGGCUCGGCGGGCAGCUCCUUUUCACGGGAAACCAGAGUCUCUGGGUUCCGGGGGGAGUCUGGUUGCAAAGCUGAAACUUAAAGGAAUUGACGGAAAGGCACCACCAGGCGUGGAGCUUGCGGCUUAAUUUGACUCAACACGGGCAAUCUCACCAGGCCAGCACUCUAGCAUGAUUGACAGAUUGAGAGCUCUUUCUCGAUUCAGUGGAUGGUGGUGCAUGGCCGUUCUUAGUUGGUGGAGUGAUCUGUCUGGUUAAUUCCGAUAACGAACGAGACUCUCCCCUGCUAACUAGUCGGUUGGAUCUUGAUAUGCGAGUCGUGCCCUGCGUUGGUAGACGGCGGGGGUAGUUUGUGUUGUGUGGCGUUGGCGGUUUCGAUCGUCUUCGCAGCAGCGCUGCUCUCCUGGCCUUGCCUUCUUGUAGGUAGUGCACUCCAAGUCCGCCGCUGUGUCUUAGAAUUCUUCUUAGAGGGAUCAACGGCUCUGAAGCCGUCAGAGACUGAGAGCAAUAACAGGUCUGUGAUGCCCUUAGAUGCUCUGGGCCGCACGCGUGCUACAAUGCCGGGCACAGCAGGUGUUACCUCCUGUUCCGAGAGGAACGGGCAACCCUCUGAAAGCCCUUCAGCAUUUCUCUUGUUCCAGUCACUCACGUGCGCUGGACAAGAGCGGCGUGCUUGGGCCUGGGGCUUGCAAUUAUUCCCCACAAACGAGGAAUGCCUAGUAGCGGUAGGUCACUGAGCCUGCCGUGACUGAGUCCCUGCCCUUUGUACACACCGCCCGUCGCUACUACCGAUUGGGUGUACCAGUGAGAGCCUUGGACUGGCGGCCGUUGCUCUAUUCUUCGGAGUGAGCAAACGGAUAUCGACUGAAAGAGGUCCGAACUGGUGCACUUAGAGGAAGUAAAAGUCGUAACAAGGUUUCCGUAGUGAACCUGCGGAAGG